This 1282-nucleotide ribosomal RNA is filed under the name Betaproteobacteria bacterium. RNAcentral describes it as "bacterial SSU rRNA". It matches the Rfam family "Bacterial small subunit ribosomal RNA", at positions 87 to 1373 of the family's 1533-position model. The record is from RNAcentral. Lineage: Bacteria; Pseudomonadati; Pseudomonadota; Betaproteobacteria.
GGUGGCGAGUGGCGAACGGGUGAGUAAUGUAUCGGAACGUGCCUAGUAGCGGGGGAUAACUACGCGAAAGCGUAGCUAAUACCGCAUACGCCCUACGGGGGAAAGCAGGGGAUCGCAAGACCUUGCUCUAUUAGAGCGGCCGAUAUCGGAUUAGCUAGUUGGUGGGGUAACGGCUCACCAAGGCGACGAUCCGUAGCUGGUUUGAGAGGACGACCAGCCACACUGGGACUGAGACACGGCCCAGACUCCUACGGGAGGCAGCAGUGGGGAAUUUUGGACAAUGGGGGAAACCCUGAUCCAGCCAUCCCGCGUGUGCGAUGAAGGCCUUCGGGUUGUAAAGCACUUUUGGCAGGAAAGAAACGUCAUGGGCUAAUACCCCGUGAAACUGACGGUACCUGCAGAAUAAGCACCGGCUAACUACGUGCCAGCAGCCGCGGUAAUACGUAGGGUGCAAGCGUUAAUCGGAAUUACUGGGCGUAAAGCGUGCGCAGGCGGUUCGGAAAGAAAGAUGUGAAAUCCCAGAGCUUAACUUUGGAACUGCAUUUUUAACUACCGAGCUAGAGUGUGUCAGAGGGAGGUGGAAUUCCGCGUGUAGCAGUGAAAUGCGUAGAUAUGCGGAGGAACACCGAUGGCGAAGGCAGCCUCCUGGGAUAACACUGACGCUCAUGCACGAAAGCGUGGGGAGCAAACAGGAUUAGAUACCCUGGUAGUCCACGCCCUAAACGAUGUCAACUAGCUGUUGGGGCCUUCGGGCCUUGGUAGCGCAGCUAACGCGUGAAGUUGACCGCCUGGGGAGUACGGUCGCAAGAUUAAAACUCAAAGGAAUUGACGGGGACCCGCACAAGCGGUGGAUGAUGUGGAUUAAUUCGAUGCAACGCGAAAAACCUUACCUACCCUUGACAUGUCUGGAAUUCCGAAGAGAUUUGGAAGUGCUCGCAAGAGAACUGGAACACAGGUGCUGCAUGGCUGUCGUCAGCUUCGUGUCGUGAGAUGUUGGGUUAAGUCCCGCAACGAGCGCAACCCUUGUCAUUAGUUGCUACGAAAGGGCACUCUAAUGAGACUGCCGGUGACAAACCGGAGGAAGGUGGGGAUGACGUCAAGUCCUCAUGGCCCUUAUGGGUAGGGCUUCACACGUCAUACAAUGGUCGGGACAGAGGGUCGCCAACCCGCGAGGGGGAGCCAAUCCCAGAAACCCGAUCGUAGUCCGGAUCGCAGUCUGCAACUCGACUGCGGAAGUCGGAAUCGCAUAGUAUCGCGGUCAGCAUGCGCGGAACUUACGCCA